AUUGAACGCUGGCGGCAUGCCUUACACAUGCAAGUCGAACGGUAACAGGUCUUCGGAUGCUGACGAGUGGCGAACGGGUGAGUAAUACAUCGGAACGUGCCUAGUAGUGGGGGAUAACUACUCGAAAGAGUGGCUAAUACCGCAUGAGAUCUACGGAUGAAAGCAGGGGAUCGCAAGACCUUGUGCUACUAGAGCGGCCAAUGGCAGAUUAGGUAGUUGGUGGGAUAAAAGCUUACCAAGCCGACGAUCUGUAGCUGGGCUGAGAGGACGAUCAGCCACAGUGAGACUGAGAGACGGCCCAGACUCCUACGGGAGGCAGCAGUGGGGAAUUUUGGACAAUGGGCGCAAGCCUGAUCCAGCAAUGCCGCGUGCAGGAUGAAGGCCUUCGGGUUGUAAACUGCUUUUGUACGGAACGAAAAGCCCUGGGUUAAUACCCUGGGGUCAUGACGGUACCGUAAGAAUAAGCACCGGCUAACUACGUGCCAGCCGCCGCCGUAA
RNAcentral lists this ribosomal RNA (498 nucleotides) under uncultured bacterium. RNAcentral's name for it is "partial 16S ribosomal RNA". It matches the Rfam family "Bacterial small subunit ribosomal RNA", at positions 30 to 523 of the family's 1533-position model. The record is from RNAcentral.